GCCGAGGUGGUGGAACUGGUAGACACGCUGUCUUGAGGGGGCAGUGAGCUAACGCUUGUGCGGGUUCGAAUCCCGCUCUCGGCA
Molecule: transfer RNA, 84 nt
Filed under: Fidelibacterota bacterium
Lineage: Bacteria; Pseudomonadati; Fidelibacterota
Also listed under: 1 other name
Description: tRNA-Leu
Rfam family: tRNA
About the family: Transfer RNA (tRNA) molecules are approximately 80 nucleotides in length.
Source: RNAcentral